UGGAAAGUUACUUUUUUACCCUUGGAGAAGCUUUGGACUGACUUUGUAAAAAAGAAUGUUAACUUCCCCAUAUAUAUAUAUAUUUCCCCCCCCUUCCCAUUCCUCUUUACUAUUUUAGGGAUGUCAUAAUGUGGCUCUAGCGAAGAAUACAUGCAAAAAGGAUCUGUACUAAAACCAGAGCUUUAUAACCUAAACUAUAACAGCAACAAUCCUCAGCUCUACAACAGCAGUCUCACAGGAUUGGCAGCUUUGCUCCCAAGUCUGUCUCUGCAACAGAACCACUGUAGGAGGAAUGGUAGCUGUCUGCCUGGGUUAACCUAGACGUACUGUAAAGCAUAGAUUCAAAGUUCUGCGUUUCUGAGUUGUCUCAACCUGCAGCGUACAUUCUGUCUUCAGCUAGUCCAAAAGGGCUGCCUGGUGCACUGCAGCACUCACUCAGGAGCCCAAGGGUCAUAGUUGGUUUGUAAAAUGGAGAUAAGGUCACUCUUUCUGGUUCUGCCUACUGACAAGAGAAGAAGAGCCAAGUGUUGAGGUGCUAUCAUAAGAAAGGUCAUACAAGUUUUUGCAAUGGUUAAGGAGGAAACAAGCCCAGCCACAACCUGAUAACCUACAUGAAAUUCCAGUCUGUGUAUAAUGGGCGGUGGAAUCCACAUAUCUCACAGUCAGACAUCUGCUAUUAAAGGUCUUUCACCACUGUCCUCAAUGCACACUGCUCUUUGUGGGAAACACUGGAUGAGCAAUGCUGGCAGCUUUUGCACAAUACCAGUUGCAGCAUAGAAAGGUGAGAAAUUGUGAGAAGCAAAUUAGGACAGUACCUGCAAUAGCUUGCAAGUGAGUGCAGGAAAUGUAUCCCACAAUUCUUUGGUCCUGAGGUGUACUUCCCACUUGCACCUGUAAGGAAAGGAAGAAAUAAAAAGGUCCUUAAUGGAGGAGCUCAUACAUCUGCACUACCAACGCCAGUGGUGCAGUGCUCACACACGGCACCGGCCUUUUUCUCCAUUUUUUCCACCUAGCUCCCUUUCGGAACACAGAAACCCCCCAGGAAACACCUGAUCGUCACACUUGGCAUUGCUGAGGUCCCAUUUUGCAUCUAACACACACACUCCUUCCUCAUCACCACUGGUUCAAAAACAAAAAACAAACAAAAAAAAACCGUGAGCCACCAUCACACACAGACAGCUUUGUCACAGUUUUGUUUUUCAGUUGUCGGACAACUGAAAAAACAAGAAAACUAAGAACCAUCUGAUCAGUUCUAUAACUGGAAAGCUGGCUUUGAAGCAAGUG
RNAcentral lists this long non-coding RNA (1284 nucleotides) under Gallus gallus (chicken). RNAcentral describes it as "long non-coding RNA NONGGAT001802". The record is from RNAcentral. Lineage: Eukaryota; Metazoa; Chordata; Aves; Galliformes; Phasianidae.